GUGGGGAAUAUUGGACAAUGGGCGAAAGCCUGAUCCAGCCAUGCCGCGUGUGUGAAGAAGGUCUUCGGAUUGUAAACUGCUUUUGUACGGAACGAAACGGUCCGGGUUAAUACCCUGGGCUAAUGACGGUACCGUAAGAAUAAGCACCGGCUAACUACGUGCCAGCAGCCGCGGUAAUACGUAGGGUGCAAGCGUUAAUCGGAAUUACUGGGCGUAAAGCGUGCGCAGGCGGUUUUGUAAGACAGGCGUGAAAUCCCCGGGCUCAACCUGGGAAUUGCGCUUGUGACUGCAAGGCUGGAGUGCGGCAGAGGGGGAUGGAAUUCCGCGUGUAGCAGUGAAAUGCGUAGAUAUGCGGAGGAACACCGAUGGCGAAGGCAAUCCCCUGGGCCUGCACUGACGCUCAUGCACGAAAGCGUGGGGAGCAAACAGGAUUAGAUACCCGAGUAGUCC
This 450-nucleotide ribosomal RNA is filed under the name uncultured bacterium. Its description in RNAcentral is "bacterial SSU rRNA". It matches the Rfam family "Bacterial small subunit ribosomal RNA", at positions 354 to 796 of the family's 1533-position model. The record is from RNAcentral.